This 253-nucleotide ribosomal RNA is filed under the name uncultured bacterium. Its description in RNAcentral is "partial 16S ribosomal RNA". It matches the Rfam family "Bacterial small subunit ribosomal RNA", at positions 524 to 776 of the family's 1533-position model. The record is from RNAcentral.
UACGUAGGGGGCAAGCGUUGUCCGGAUUUACUGGGCGUAAAGGGUGCUCAGGUGGCUUGGAAAGUCAGUGGUGAAAUCUGAGAGCUUAACUCUCAAACUGCCAUUGAUACUUCUUAGCUUGAGUACGGAAGAGGCUGAUGGAAUUUCAGGUUUAGCAGUGAAAUGCGUAGAUAUCUGAAAGAACACCAGUGGCGAAGGCGGUCAGCUGGUCCGUUACUGACACUAAAGCACGAAAGCGUGGGUAGCAAACAGG